AUUGAACGCUGGCGGCAUGCCUUACACAUGCAAGUCGAACGGUAACAGGUUAAGCUGACGAGUGGCGAACGGGUGAGUAAUGUAUCGGAACGUGCCCAGUCGUGGGGGAUAACGUAGCGAAAGCUACGCUAAUACCGCAUACGAUCUACGGAUGAAAGCGGGGGAUCGCAAGACCUCGCGCGAUUGGAGCGGCCGAUAUCAGAUUAGGUUGUUGGUGAGGUAAAAGCUCACCAAGCCUGCGAUCUGUAGCUGGUCUGAGAGGACGACUAGCCACACUGGAACUGAGACACGGUCCAGACUCCUACGGGAGGCAGCAGUGGGGAAUUUUGGACAAUGGACGCAAGUCUGAUCCAGCAAUGCCGCGUGCAGGACGAAGGCCUUCGGGUUGUAAACUGCUUUUGUACGGAACGAAACGGUGAGCUCUAAUACAGUUUGCUAAUGUCGGUACCGUAAGAAUAAGCACCGGCUAACUACGUGCCAGCAGCCGCCGUAA
RNAcentral lists this ribosomal RNA (493 nucleotides) under uncultured bacterium. RNAcentral's name for it is "partial 16S ribosomal RNA". It matches the Rfam family "Bacterial small subunit ribosomal RNA", at positions 30 to 523 of the family's 1533-position model. The record is from RNAcentral.